CCUUUCAUCUCUCUGUCAAACUUGUCUCCAUUGACACAAAAGCCCUAGCUGUGCUCACAGGCCACUCUCUCCCUCUUUCUCUCUCUGUUUUUUUUUUUUUUUGCCCUCUCAAUUCAUCCGUCAUUGGUGAACAAUACAAAAAGGCCAGAUCCCUGAACCAGAAGAUGGUGAUAAUAUGAAGGAAUUCCCUCUUCGCACACCAUCACCAUCUCCUUCAACCUUAAGUACCCCAAGCACGCUUUCCCAAACUCUCACUUGUUUUCCUCCGGCGACGAAGCAAACUGCAGUUGAUCGAUUAAGCUUGGACGAUUGGGAAGCAUGGA
Long non-coding RNA from Zingiber officinale, 323 nucleotides. RefSeq lists it as uncharacterized. The record is from RefSeq and is a predicted model, not a curated record. The transcript has 2 exons. NCBI's taxonomy places the organism in Eukaryota, Viridiplantae, Streptophyta, Magnoliopsida, Zingiberales, Zingiberaceae.